GACGAACGCUGGCGGCGUGCUUAACACAUGCAAGUCGAGCGGUAAGGCCCUUUCGGGGGUACACGAGCGGCGAACGGGUGAGUAACACGUGGGUGACCUGCCCUCAGCUCUGGGAUAAGCCUGGGAAACCGGGUCUAAUACCGGAUAUGACUCCAUGACGCAUGUUGUGGGGUGGAAAGCCUUGUGCGGCUGAGGAUGGGCCCGCGGCCUAUCAGCUUGUUGGUGGGGUGAUGGCCUACCAAGGCGACGACGGGUAGCCGGCCUGAGAGGGCGACCGGCCACACUGGGACUGAGACACGGCCCAGACUCCGUACGGGAGGCAGCAGGUGGGGAAUCUUGCGCAAGUGGGACGAAAGCCUGACGCAGCGACGCCGCGUGAGGAU
RNAcentral lists this ribosomal RNA (383 nucleotides) under uncultured bacterium. RNAcentral's name for it is "bacterial SSU rRNA". It matches the Rfam family "Bacterial small subunit ribosomal RNA", at positions 28 to 408 of the family's 1533-position model. The record is from RNAcentral.